UAAUAUUUGAUGCCCCUCCAUACUUCAACAUUAAGAAAACUGAUGUAAGAAAAUGAAGUGCUAGAAUUUCUCUUUAAGCUAUUUCCAAGAUAUUACUUAGACCGUGAUGGUUUGGGUUUUAUCAGGGCAUCUCUGAUAAGAUUGUAGCAGUAAGUUACUGAUGAUUGUGGACUCAGUUUUAAGAUAUCACUGUGAAGGAAGCACUACUGUGAUAGCAGCUAAGAGUGGUGUUAAACUUAUUAAAAUGAGAAAAUUCAAGGACUAGAGCUGGAAAAAAUGUACUAGAAAUUUAUAAGAGUAUUGAAUGGUGACCAAAUACUAAGUUUUACAGCAGCAUGAUUUGGCUUUAAGAAAAUAUGGAAGCCUUACCAUCAUCUAUGAAUUGGAGGCAAAAUUUUGAAAAUUUGUCCAUAUUAAAUAUCUCACUACAUAACUGUCCAAGGAAAUAAGCAGUUAUAUUUGUCCAAAGUGAAAAAAUAAUAAAUUUUAUACAUUCAAGUCAUAUCCUCAAGAAAAUUAUUGUCAGACUUCAGGAUGGAGAAGAUAACACUGGAUGUCCAUGAAAGCAGCCUCUUCAUACGACGCAAGAAAGCAGCAGCUCAAGGGCAAGAAAGAAAUAGCAAUACUUCCCUGCAUCACAGCACUUCCCAGCCACAACACCACACCGCUUCUUCCCACCAUAAUGCUCCGCAAACUCUUUCCCAACAUGCUUCUCUCUCCCACUACAAGAAUCCCCAUCCAGUUCCCCAAGCUCAUCCUUACUCCUAUGUCACUCCUGAAAUGCAUCCUCAACCACAAAAUGCUUCCUUCCACUACAUCACUCCCCAGUCUCUUCCACAACAUGAUGUUCCAUCCUUUGACACUACUCAGCAACUCCCACAGCCUCACACUGCAUCUUCUCUACAUUCACCCUUCCAACACAGCUCUACUCUUCAUCAUCCUAAUUCUUCCCAGAAAAUUCCCAUCCAGAGAACAUCUUCAACAAACCCAAAUCCUAGUCAUUCCCCAUCUCGACCUCAGCACCUCCCAUUGAAGAACAUUGCUACUCCUUAUCCUUCACAUCCAUUUCCAUUGCAUGUGAAUGAGUCACCUUAUGGUGUUCCAUUGAGAAGCUCAGGACCUCAAGCAAGUUAUCCUGAUGAUUUUACUAGGAGAUUUCCUCCUAAUCCCAAGGGCACUCCACCCCCCAAACCCCCAAGGCAGAUGGACUUACGACCUGUGAAUCACACAGGGGAUGUACACUUGAGAAAGGAGGUAAAGGAUAAGUACCUUGCAAAUUUAGACUACGAUCUGGCUGUAAAUGAUAGCCCACCAGACUUCAGUCCCCCACCAAUUGAUGCUAGAAAGGAAGAUAACCUGCACAGUAUGUCCCUUGACGCCAUGUCCUGCACCCGUUGUGGGGACGGGUUUGAGCCACAGGAGAAGAUUGUCAACUCUAAUGGGCAGCUGUGGCACACUCAGUGCUUUGUGUGUGCCCAGUGCUUUCGGCCAUUCCCCGAUGACAUUUUUUAUGAGUUUGAGGGAAGGAAGUAUUGUGAGCAUGAUUUCCAAGUGCUCUUUGCUCCAUGCUGCAACAAGUGUAAUGAAUUUAUCAUUGGGCGAGUGAUCAAGGCAAUGAGCAGCAACUGGCACCCACAUUGUUUCACCUGUGAACUGUGUCACAAGGAGCUGGCUGAUCUGGGAUUCAUCCGCAAUGCUGGCCGAGCUCUGUGCCACGAGUGCAAUGCUCGUGUCAAAGCUGAGUCCCAGGGGAAGUACAUGUGUCAUAAAUGCCAUUCCACAAUUGAUGGACAGCCUUUGAGAUGGAGGGGCGACACCUUCCACCCUUACCACUUCAACUGUGCUUCUUGUGGGAUAGAAUUGACUGCUGAUGCCAGAGAAGUCAAGAGCCGUCCAGGAUAUACUGCCAAUGAAAUGAAUGAGUUAUACUGUCUGCGAUGCCAUGAUAAGAUGGGCAUCCCAAUCUGUGGUGCAUGUCGCCGUCCGAUUGAAGAGCGAGUUGUCACUGCCCUUGGGAAACAUUGGCAUGUGGAGCACUUUGUGUGUGCCAAGUGUGAGAAGCCGUUUAUGGGAAACCGCCACUAUGAACGCAAGGGUCUGGCAUACUGUGAGACCCACUACCAUGAGCUGUUUGGAAACCUGUGCUUUGUCUGCAAUACUGUUAUUUAUGGUGAUGUGGUGACAGCCCUCAACAAGGCAUGGUGUCAGCAUCACUUUGCCUGUGCCACUUGUGACAUCAAGAUGACCCAGAAGACCAAAUUCUUUGAGUUUGAUCAAAAGCCAAUCUGUAAGAAAUGCUAUGAGAAGUUCCCUCAGGAGUUGAAGAAAAGACUAAAAAAGCAGCAUGACAUCCAAGCCCGAGGAGGAAAGCCUCUCCCUUAACUUCUCACUAUUACCAAUACAGUUUGGUGUCUACACCACCACCACCACUAACACAACCAAUCAUUAGAGGAGUGGUAAACACCUUGUGAGAGACAGCAGCUGUAUCAUCCUUACGCAGGGCAGAAGGUACAAUGGCAGAGGAGUGACCUUCGCUGUGAGCUCCAACCCCUGCUCCCUCACCAGUCGUAGUAGCACUGCUAAGCCCCUGGUCCGAAGGUCCAGCCCUGAUUCCUCUCCAACUUGAAGUUGCUUCAGGGGUUCCACUCAGAGCAGGUGUCAACAUCUUGGCAGGGGUUCGACCAGAAGAUGAAGUCCGAGCCGGGAAUCCCUCCGAGGCCUGAAGCUCCAGCAGCACUGGAUGCAGCACUAUCACUAGGCCGAUCCUUGAUGACAAGCCGCGUGUGACGAAAGUAUGCCGUAGCCAGCAUAGAGUUUUGUUUUAAUUUUUUCCUCCCCUCCUCCAUGAUAAGCGUCAGUGGAGGAGGUAGGCAAAGAUAGAAGAAAUUUUUUUUGCCUACUUAUCAAUGCAUGAAAAUAUAUGAAAUAACAGCAAAA
This 2937-nucleotide unclassified non-coding RNA is filed under the name Portunus trituberculatus (swimming crab). Its description in RNAcentral is "lIM and senescent cell antigen-like-containing domain protein 1, transcript variant X5". Lineage: Eukaryota; Metazoa; Arthropoda; Malacostraca; Decapoda; Portunidae. The record is from RNAcentral.